Molecule: ribosomal RNA, 325 nt
Filed under: uncultured bacterium
Lineage: Bacteria
Description: bacterial SSU rRNA
Rfam family: Bacterial small subunit ribosomal RNA
Source: RNAcentral
CUGUACAGUUCAGAGUUUGAUCCUGGCUCAGGAUGAACGCUGGCGGCGUGCCUAACACAUGCAAGUCGAGCGAACCCUUCGGGGUAAGCGGCGGACGGGUGAGUAACGCUGGGUAACCUGCCCUGUACACACGGAUAACAUACCGAAAGGUAUGCUAAUACGGGAUAAUAUGUUUUGAUCGCAUGGUCGAGACAUCAAAGCUCCGGCGGUACAGGAUGGACCCGCGUCUGAUUAGCUAGUUGGUGAGGUAAUGGCUCACCAAGGCGACGAUCAGUAGCCGACCUGAGAGGGUGAUCGGCCACAUUGGAACUGAGACACGGUCCAA